GCCUGGCUGGCUCUGUCGUAGAGCGUGAGACUCUUAAUCUCAAGGUGGUGAGUUCAAACCCCUCUCUGGGCG
Molecule: transfer RNA, 72 nt
Filed under: Felis catus (domestic cat)
Lineage: Eukaryota; Metazoa; Chordata; Mammalia; Carnivora; Felidae
Also listed under: 1 other name
Rfam family: tRNA
About the family: Transfer RNA (tRNA) molecules are approximately 80 nucleotides in length. Their secondary structure includes four short double-helical elements and three loops (D, anti-codon, and T loops). Further hydrogen bonds mediate the characteristic L-shaped molecular structure. tRNAs have two regions of fundamental functional importance: the anti-codon, which is responsible for specific mRNA codon recognition, and the 3' end, to which the tRNAs corresponding amino acid is attached (by aminoacyl-tRNA synthetases). tRNAs cope with the degeneracy of the genetic code in two manners: having more than one tRNA (with a specific anti-codon) for a particular amino acid; and 'wobble' base-pairing, i.e. permitting non-standard base-pairing at the 3rd anti-codon position.
Source: Rfam by way of RNAcentral